UAGUCCACGCCGUAAACGAUGACAACUAACUAUUGCGGGUAUUAACCCCUGCAGUAGUACAGCCAACGCGUUAAGUUGUCCGCCUGGGGAGUACGGUCGCAAGACUAAAACUCAAAGGAAUUGACGGGGGCCCGCACAAGCGGUGGAUUAUGUGGUUUAAUUCGAAGCAACGCGCAAAACCUUACCUAGGCUUGAAAUCCUGAGAAGACCGCCCAAAAGCGGUUGUGCCCUUCGGGGAAUUCAGUGACAGGCGCUGCAUGGCUGUCGUCAGCUCGUGUUGUGAAAUGUUGGGUUAAGUCUCGCAACGAGCGCAACCCCUAUCUUUAGUUGCCAGCAUUAAGUUGGGCACUCUAGAGAGACUGCCUGGGUUAACCAGGAGGAAGGUGGGGAUGACGUCAAGUCCUCAUGGCCCUUAUGCCUAGGGCUACACACGUAAUACAAUGGGUGACACAAAGGGUAGCGAAGCAGCGAUGUGGAGCUAAUCUCAAAAAGUCACUCUCAGUCCGGAUUGUAGU
This 515-nucleotide ribosomal RNA is filed under the name uncultured bacterium. RNAcentral's name for it is "bacterial SSU rRNA". It matches the Rfam family "Bacterial small subunit ribosomal RNA", at positions 791 to 1304 of the family's 1533-position model. The record is from RNAcentral.